This 812-nucleotide ribosomal RNA is filed under the name uncultured bacterium. RNAcentral's name for it is "bacterial SSU rRNA". It matches the Rfam family "Bacterial small subunit ribosomal RNA", at positions 8 to 796 of the family's 1533-position model. The record is from RNAcentral.
AGAGUUUGAUCAUGGCUCAGAACAAACGCUGGCGGCGUGCCUAACACAUGCAAGUCGUACGAGAAAGGGUCUUUCGGGAUCUGAGUAAAGUGGCGCACGGGUGAGUAACGCGUGGAUAAUCUGCCCUUCAGUUGGGAAUAACUCAUCGAAAGGUGGGCUAAUACCGAAUAACGCUGUGAGACUUUGGUCGAUCAGCCAAAGAGAGCCUCUGCUUGCAUGCCCUCGCUGAAGGAUGAGUCCGCGUACCAUUAGCUAGUUGGUAGGGUAAUGGCCUACCAAGGCGACGAUGGUUAGCUGGUCUGAGAGGAUGAUCAGCCACACUGGAACUGAGACACGGUCCAGACUCCUACGGGAGGCAGCAGUGAGGAAUCUUGCGCAAUGGGGGCAACCCUGACGCAGCAACGCCGCGUGAGUGAGGAAGGUCUUCGGAUCGUAAAGCUCUGUCGGAUGGAAAGAACCGCAUGGGGGUAAAUAGCCCUCGUGUCUGACGGUACCAUCAAAGGAAGCACCGGCUAACUCCGUGCCAGCAGCCGCGGUAAUACGGGGGGUGCAAGCGUUGUUCGGAAUUAUUGGGCGUAAAGAGCGUGUAGGCGGCCGGAUGUGUCAGAUGUGAAAGCCCUGGGCUUAACCCAGGAAGUGCAUUUGAAACUGUUCGGCUUGAGUAGGGGAGAGGGAAGUGGAAUUCCUGGUGUAGAGGUGAAAUUCGUAGAUAUCAGGAGGAACACCGGUGGCGAAGGCGACUUCCUGGCCCUAUACUGACGCUGAGACGCGAGAGCGUGGGUAGCAAACAGGAUUAGAUACCCUGGUAGUCC